UACGGGGGGAGCAAGCGUUGUUCGGAUUUACUGGGCGUAAAGGGCGCGUAGGCGGCCAGCACAAGUCAGUUGUGAAAUCUCCGAGCUUAACUCGGAAAGGUCAACUGAUACUGUGCGGCUAGAGUGCGGAAGGGGCAACUGGAAUUCUUGGUGUAGCGGUGAAAUGCGUAGAUAUCAAGAGGAACACCUGCGGCGAAGGCGGGUUGCUGGGCCGACACUGACGCUGAGGCGCGAAAGCGUGGGGAGCGAACGGG
RNAcentral lists this ribosomal RNA (254 nucleotides) under uncultured bacterium. RNAcentral's name for it is "partial 16S ribosomal RNA". It matches the Rfam family "Bacterial small subunit ribosomal RNA", at positions 524 to 776 of the family's 1533-position model. The record is from RNAcentral.